Molecule: transfer RNA, 71 nt
Filed under: Camelus bactrianus (Bactrian camel)
Lineage: Eukaryota; Metazoa; Chordata; Mammalia; Artiodactyla; Camelidae
Also listed under: 2 other names
Rfam family: tRNA
About the family: Transfer RNA (tRNA) molecules are approximately 80 nucleotides in length.
Source: Rfam by way of RNAcentral
GUGGGUAUAGCUCAGUGGCAGAGCGCAUGCUUAGCAUGCACGAUGUCCUGGGUUCAAUCCCAGUCCCUCCA